RNAcentral lists this long non-coding RNA (592 nucleotides) under Capra hircus (goat). RNAcentral's name for it is "lncRNA (ENSCHIG00010000571.1)". The record is from RNAcentral. Lineage: Eukaryota; Metazoa; Chordata; Mammalia; Artiodactyla; Bovidae.
CAACCCCAUUCACACAAACUGCCUCUUGGAAAUAGCCCAGGAGCCCCUUGGAUCAAGCCCAGCAACAGCUACCGUGGGGGUCCCCCUGAGAGGCCCAGCAGACACCUCCCCUCCGACCCUCCUCAGAUGUCUUACCUGCUGCCGCUCCCCUAAACUCGUGCUGCCCCUCCGCCACCAGGAGGCCCAGGAAUCGCUUCCCCAUCAGGAGUGAACCUCAGUCCCUGUCCUCCCCUCCAAAGGCCCCCAACACAGCCACUGAGCACACGAACAGUGAAAACCAGAAAGCUGUUUCCUACCAACUCCAGGAGCACCGGGAGGACGGCAGGCAGUAGGGCCCGUCCCCAGGUGAGGAAGACAGAUGAACCGCAGACACUUCUGCGGGCUGGGGGGUGGCAGGACCCCAGUGGUACUGACUGUGGAUCCAUCACUGUGAUACAUGAUCGCAGAUGUCGCAGUGAGACACAGAUAAUCGGCUUCACGCUGUCUCCGAGCUCCUGGGGGGAGCAGGUUGUCUAAGCACCUCGAUGCCAUGGUGAUAGACGUCAUGUUAAUGCCUCCACGCACGAAGGGAGCGUUAUAAAGGCAUCGGUCU